RNAcentral lists this transfer RNA (68 nucleotides) under Paratetraonchoides inermis. RNAcentral describes it as "tRNA-Ser". Lineage: Eukaryota; Metazoa; Platyhelminthes; Monogenea; Dactylogyridea; Tetraonchoididae. The record is from RNAcentral.
AUAAAUUAAGAAAAAUUCUAGUUUGUUUUGAAAACAAAUUUUAUCAUAUAAUAAUUAUGAAAUUUAUU